This 500-nucleotide ribosomal RNA is filed under the name uncultured bacterium. Its description in RNAcentral is "partial 16S ribosomal RNA". It matches the Rfam family "Bacterial small subunit ribosomal RNA", at positions 30 to 523 of the family's 1533-position model. The record is from RNAcentral.
AUUGAACGCUGGCGGCAUGCUUUACACAUGCAAGUCGAACGGUAACAGGGUGCUUGCACCGCUGACGAGUGGCGAACGGGUGAGUAAUGCGUCGGAACGUGCCGAGUAGUGGGGGAUAACGCAGCGAAAGUUGUGCUAAUACCGCAUACGUACUGAGGUAGAAAGUGGGGGACCUUUGGGCCUCACGCUAUUCGAGCGGCCGACGGCUGAUUAGCUAGUAGGUGAGGUAAAGGCUCACCCAGGCGACGAUCAGUAGCGGGUCUGAGAGGAUGAUCCGCCACGGUGGGACUGAGACACGGCCCAGACUCCUACGGGAGGCAGCAGUGGGGAAUUUUGGACAAUGGGCGAAAGCCUGAUCCAGCCAUGCCGCGUGUCUGAAGAAGGCCUUCGGGUUGUAAAGGACUUUUGUCAGGGAGGAAAUCCCUAGUGCUAAUAACACUGGGGGAUGACAGUACCUGAAGAAUAAGCACCGGCUAACUACGUGCCAGCCGCCGCGGUAA